CUACAGCUCCAGAUACACUGUCAACACAGCCCUGGUCCAUGCACACUUCCCGACCCCCUGGAGCACACCCAGUUGCCCUACUGCAGAUGCCACCACCUCUCCACCAAUGCCCCCUACAGUUCACAUAGUCCUCAUGCAGUCCCUGCUCCACAGAGAUGGAAACACUUGCCUUCCUGUAGAGGAUCAAGGCACACAGUCUAUGCAGACCAACAAGUAGCUUGAGGGCUUGCUGUUGGGUGGGGCUGGUCUCUAGGGUGGGCUGCCUGCCCUGGCUGAAAUGGAUUAAAUCUACACUCUGCUGGAUGUGGCAGACCCCUGGGCUAUCAGGCCAGAGGAAGAACUUCAAUGGCAUGUGCUGGUGUCUCUGUCAGCACACAUGUCCUAGAUUACAACAAUGGCCACCACCAAAGUCUCAGUCUCUGGAGAGGUCUCAUCUCUCACCAAAAUGCACCCAGAGCCUACCAAACCCACAACUGAUAAAAGGAGAUAUACUCCAAUAUUGCAAAGGCCUAAUUGCUUCUAUUAAAAAUAACCAUGUUUUGGUAGAGCAAUCUUUUGACAGUGUGCUCCAGGGAGACAUAGUCUUUAUUCAUUUUGCCAUAUAACCAGGAGAUUUCAUCAAUUGGAAAAGACACCUCCACAAGGAUUCUCUUCAACCUCACUGG
This 665-nucleotide long non-coding RNA is filed under the name Equus caballus (horse). RNAcentral's name for it is "lncRNA (ENSECAG00000053476.1)". The record is from RNAcentral. Lineage: Eukaryota; Metazoa; Chordata; Mammalia; Perissodactyla; Equidae.